This 501-nucleotide ribosomal RNA is filed under the name uncultured bacterium. RNAcentral's name for it is "partial 16S ribosomal RNA". It matches the Rfam family "Bacterial small subunit ribosomal RNA", at positions 29 to 523 of the family's 1533-position model. The record is from RNAcentral.
AUUGAACGCUGGCGGCAUGCCUUACACAUGCAAGUCGAACGGCAGCACGGGUGCUUGCACCUGGUGGCGAGUGGCGAACGGGUGAGUAAUACAUCGGAACGUACCUUAUCGUGGGGGAUAACGCAGCGAAAGCUGUGCUAAUACCGCAUACGCCCUGAGGGGGAAAGCGGGGGAGCGCAAGACACCGCGCGAUUAGAGAGGCCGAUGCCUGAUUAGCUUGUUGGUGGGGUAAAAGCCCACCAAGGCGACGAUCAGUAGCGGGUCUGAGAGGACGAUCAGCCACACUGGGACUGAGACACGGCCCAGACUCCUACGGGAGGCAGCAGUGGGGAAUUUUGGACAAUGGGGGCAACCCUGAUCCAGCAAUGCCGCGUGAGUGAAGAAGGCCUUCGGGUUGUAAAGCUCUUUUGUCAGGGAAGAAACACCGGCUCUAACACAGUCCGGGAAUGACGGUACCUGAAGAAUAAGCACCGGCUAACUACGUGCCAGCCGCCGCCGUAA